RNAcentral lists this ribosomal RNA (2518 nucleotides) under Escherichia coli. Its description in RNAcentral is "partial 23S ribosomal RNA". It matches the Rfam family "Bacterial large subunit ribosomal RNA", at positions 418 to 2915 of the family's 2925-position model. The record is from RNAcentral. Lineage: Bacteria; Pseudomonadati; Pseudomonadota; Gammaproteobacteria; Enterobacterales; Enterobacteriaceae.
CGGGACACGUGGUAUCCUGUCUGAAUAUGGGGGGACCAUCCUCCAAGGCUAAAUACUCCUGACUGACCGAUAGUGAACCAGUACCGUGAGGGAAAGGCGAAAAGAACCCCGGCGAGGGGAGUGAAAAAGAACCUGAAACCGUGUACGUACAAGCAGUGGGAGCACAGAGCAAUCUGUGUGACUGCGUACCUUUUGUAUAAUGGGUCAGCGACUUAUAUUCUGUAGCAAGGUUAACCGAAUAGGGGAGCCGAAGGGAAACCGAGUCUUAACUGGGCGUUAAGUUGCAGGGUAUAGACCCGAAACCCGGUGAUCUAGCCAUGGGCAGGUUGAAGGUUGGGUAACACUAACUGGAGGACCGAACCGACUAAUGUUGAAAAAUUAGCGGAUGACUUGUGGCUGGGGGUGAAAGGCCAAUCAAACCGGGAGAUAGCUGGUUCUCCCCGAAAGCUAUUUAGGUAGCGCCUCGUGAAUUCAUCUCCGGGGGUAGAGCACUGUUUCGGCAAGGGGGUCAUCCCGACUUACCAACCCGAUGCAAACUGCGAAUACCGGAGAAUGUUAUCACGGGAGACACACGGCGGGUGCUAACGUCCGUCGUGAAGAGGGAAACAACCCAGACCGCCAGCUAAGGUCCCAAAGUCAUGGUUAAGUGGGAAACGAUGUGGGAAGGCCCAGACAGCCAGGAUGUUGGCUUAGAAGCAGCCAUCAUUUAAAGAAAGCGUAAUAGCUCACUGGUCGAGUCGGCCUGCGCGGAAGAUGUAACGGGGCUAAACCAUGCACCGAAGCUGCGGCAGCGACACUAUGUGUUGUUGGGUAGGGGAGCGUUCUGUAAGCCUGUGAAGGUGUGCUGUGAGGCAUGCUGGAGGUAUCAGAAGUGCGAAUGCUGACAUAAGUAACGAUAAAGCGGGUGAAAAGCCCGCUCGCCGGAAGACCAAGGGUUCCUGUCCAACGUUAAUCGGGGCAGGGUGAGUCGACCCCUAAGGCGAGGCCGAAAGGCGUAGUCGAUGGGAAACAGGUUAAUAUUCCUGUACUUGGUGUUACUGCGAAGGGGGGACGGAGAAGGCUAUGUUGGCCGGGCGACGGUUGUCCCGGUUUAAGCGUGUAGGCUGGUUUUCCAGGCAAAUCCGGAAAAUCAAGGCUGAGGCGUGAUGACGAGGCACUACGGUGCUGAAGCAACAAAUGCCCUGCUUCCAGGAAAAGCCUCUAAGCAUCAGGUAACAUCAAAUCGUACCCCAAACCGACACAGGUGGUCAGGUAGAGAAUACCAAGGCGCUUGAGAGAACUCGGGUGAAGGAACUAGGCAAAAUGGUGCCGUAACUUCGGGAGAAGGCACGCUGAUAUGUAGGUGAAGCGACUUGCUCGUGGAGCUGAAAUCAGUCGAAGAUACCAGCUGGCUGCAACUGUUUAUUAAAAACACAGCACUGUGCAAACACGAAAGUGGACGUAUACGGUGUGACGCCUGCCCGGUGCCGGAAGGUUAAUUGAUGGGGUCAGCGCAAGCGAAGCUCUUGAUCGAAGCCCCGGUAAACGGCGGCCGUAACUAUAACGGUCCUAAGGUAGCGAAAUUCCUUGUCGGGUAAGUUCCGACCUGCACGAAUGGCGUAAUGAUGGCCAGGCUGUCUCCACCCGAGACUCAGUGAAAUUGAACUCGCUGUGAAGAUGCAGUGUACCCGCGGCAAGACGGAAAGACCCCGUGAACCUUUACUAUAGCUUGACACUGAACAUUGAGCCUUGAUGUGUAGGAUAGGUGGGAGGCUUUGAAGUGUGGACGCCAGUCUGCAUGGAGCCGACCUUGAAAUACCACCCUUUAAUGUUUGAUGUUCUAACGUUGACCCGUAAUCCGGGUUGCGGACAGUGUCUGGUGGGUAGUUUGACUGGGGCGGUCUCCUCCUAAAGAGUAACGGAGGAGCACGAAGGUUGGCUAAUCCUGGUCGGACAUCAGGAGGUUAGUGCAAUGGCAUAAGCCAGCUUGACUGCGAGCGUGACGGCGCGAGCAGGUGCGAAAGCAGGUCAUAGUGAUCCGGUGGUUCUGAAUGGAAGGGCCAUCGCUCAACGGAUAAAAGGUACUCCGGGGAUAACAGGCUGAUACCGCCCAAGAGUUCAUAUCGACGGCGGUGUUUGGCACCUCGAUGUCGGCUCAUCACAUCCUGGGGCUGAAGUAGGUCCCAAGGGUAUGGCUGUUCGCCAUUUAAAGUGGUACGCGAGCUGGGUUUAGAACGUCGUGAGACAGUUCGGUCCCUAUCUGCCGUGGGCGCUGGAGAACUGAGGGGGGCUGCUCCUAGUACGAGAGGACCGGAGUGGACGCAUCACUGGUGUUCGGGUUGUCAUGCCAAUGGCACUGCCCGGUAGCUAAAUGCGGAAGAGAUAAGUGCUGAAAGCAUCUAAGCACGAAACUUGCCCCGAGAUGAGUUCUCCCUGACUCCUUGAGAGUCCUGAAGGAACGUUGAAGACGACGACGUUGAUAGGCCGGGUGUGUAAGCGCAGCGAUGCGUUGAGCUAACCGGUACUAAUGAACCGUGAG